This 151-nucleotide ribosomal RNA is filed under the name Stegodyphus mimosarum. Its description in RNAcentral is "5.8S ribosomal RNA". It matches the Rfam family "5.8S ribosomal RNA". Rfam says of the family: 5.8S ribosomal RNA (5.8S rRNA) is a component of the large subunit of the eukaryotic ribosome. Lineage: Eukaryota; Metazoa; Arthropoda; Arachnida; Araneae; Eresidae. The record is from Rfam by way of RNAcentral.
AAUUUUGAGCAAUGGAUCACUCGGCUCACGGGUCGAUGAAGAACGCAGCCUGCGAGACUUUAUGUAAAUUGCAGGACACAUAGAGCCCUGACUUUUCGGACUCGCAUUGCGGUCUCGGGUAAUACCCGGGACCUCGCCUGUCUGAGGGUCG